UACUCCUACGGGAGGCAGCAGUGGGGAAUCUUGCGCAAUGGGCGAAAGCCUGACGCAGCAACGCCGCGUGCGGGAUGAAGGCUCUCGGGUCGUAAACCGCUUUCAGCAGGGAUGAAAAUGACAGUACCUGCAGAAGAAGCCCCGGCUAAAUACGUGCCAGCAGCCGCGGUAAUA
Molecule: ribosomal RNA, 174 nt
Filed under: uncultured Gordonibacter sp.
Lineage: Bacteria; Bacillati; Actinomycetota; Coriobacteriia; Eggerthellales; Eggerthellaceae
Description: partial 16S ribosomal RNA
Rfam family: Bacterial small subunit ribosomal RNA
Source: RNAcentral